Molecule: ribosomal RNA, 498 nt
Filed under: uncultured bacterium
Lineage: Bacteria
Description: partial 16S ribosomal RNA
Source: RNAcentral
GUAGUUAGCCGGGGCUUUCUUACAGGGUACCGUCACUUCUUCGUCCCCUGCGACAGAGGUUUACAAUCCGAAAACCUUCUUCCCUCACGCGGCGUUGCUGGGUCAGGCUUGCGCCCAUUGCCCAAUAUUCCCCACUGCUGCCUCCCGUAGGAGUCUGGACCGUGUCUCAGUUCCAGUGUGGCCGAUCAGCCUCUCAGCUCGGCUACCCAUCGUCGGCUUGGUGGGCUGUUAUCUCACCAACUACCUAAUGGGACGCGAACCCCUCUAAAAGCGAUAAAUCUUUGACCUCUUCCCGAUGCCGGGUUGUGGUCUUAUGCGGUAUUAGCAGUUGUUUCCACCUGUUAUUCCCCACUCUUAGGCAGGUUGUUCACGCGUUACUCACCCGUGCGCCACUAGAAUUAUCAAUUCCAUCCGAAAACUUCCUUAAAUAAUCCCCGUUCGACUUGCAUGUGUUAGGCACGCCGCCAGCGUUCGUCCUGAGCCAUAAUCAAACUCUGA